GAGGGUAUAGUUCAGUGGUAGAAUGCAUGCUUGGCUUGCAUGAGGUCCUGGUUCAAUCCCCAGUGCCUCCG
RNAcentral lists this transfer RNA (71 nucleotides) under Camelus bactrianus (Bactrian camel). It matches the Rfam family "tRNA". From Rfam's summary of the family: Transfer RNA (tRNA) molecules are approximately 80 nucleotides in length. Their secondary structure includes four short double-helical elements and three loops (D, anti-codon, and T loops). Further hydrogen bonds mediate the characteristic L-shaped molecular structure. tRNAs have two regions of fundamental functional importance: the anti-codon, which is responsible for specific mRNA codon recognition, and the 3' end, to which the tRNAs corresponding amino acid is attached (by aminoacyl-tRNA synthetases). tRNAs cope with the degeneracy of the genetic code in two manners: having more than one tRNA (with a specific anti-codon) for a particular amino acid; and 'wobble' base-pairing, i.e. permitting non-standard base-pairing at the 3rd anti-codon position. Lineage: Eukaryota; Metazoa; Chordata; Mammalia; Artiodactyla; Camelidae. The record is from Rfam by way of RNAcentral. RNAcentral also lists the same sequence under 2 other names.